This 64-nucleotide transfer RNA is filed under the name Roburocoris exiguus. Its description in RNAcentral is "tRNA-Leu". It matches the Rfam family "tRNA". From Rfam's summary of the family: Transfer RNA (tRNA) molecules are approximately 80 nucleotides in length. Lineage: Eukaryota; Metazoa; Arthropoda; Insecta; Hemiptera; Miridae. The record is from RNAcentral.
UCUAAUAUGGCAGAAUAGUGCAAUGAAUUUAAGAUUCAUAUAUGAAUUUUCAAUUCUAUUAGAA